AAGAAGUCAUCGUACAAAAUUGCAUGACUUUCUGAUAAGCAACUUGUUAGGUAUAAAGCAUAAGAGAGGCCAACAUACAUGCAGAAUUUUGUAACCGGUUCUGUGCAUGUUUGUAGCUCAGGAUAUUUCAAAACGUCGAGAAAUGCAAAAAAAUCAGCUAGGUUAAAUUUGUACCGGUAGCAACAGUUCUCCUGUGUUGUAUUCAGUAACAAUCAGUAAAUGUCUCGAUUCGUUUGAAAAUAAACAACUGCUGCAUCUACUCGGCAAUUUCUUUCAGUUACGAUAAGGUAUUCCUUCGGAUAAACUAACAAUGUCAACAACCACUACGAUAAUCUUCCAAGAUACCUCGAAUCCUGACGUCGAUCAACAAAUUUGGCGGUUAGAUCUUUCAAGAUAAGGUAUUCCCACGCCUAAUUAAAACUAACAUCAACAAUCGUCGUAAUAAUAUAUCACAAGUAAAAAGCCUCGAAAUCGAGUCACGAUAUCGGUGAAAGAUUUGGCGGCCAAAUUUCUUCCAACUAUCGAGCCUCGAUCUGCCACGAUCGAAAUACAAGAGAAACUGUAAAUUUUCACUUUCGCCAAAUCCGUAUACGUGACAGACGUGUUUUCGGUUUGCAUCAAAGCUAAGAGGAAAAAAAAAUACAUGGGAAGGAAACACGUAUCCCAGGAUUCGAUGACAGUGAACAUAGACGGUGAAGUUUGACGAUUCUCAAUGAAAUAGUUAAAGA
This is a long non-coding RNA of Hylaeus volcanicus, 728 nucleotides long. RefSeq lists it as uncharacterized. The transcript has 3 exons. NCBI's taxonomy places the organism in Eukaryota, Metazoa, Arthropoda, Insecta, Hymenoptera, Colletidae. The record is from RefSeq and is a predicted model, not a curated record.